AUUGAACGCUGGCGGCAGGCCUAACACAUGCAAGUCGAGCGGCAGCGGAAAGUAGCUUGCUACUUUGCCGGCGAGCGGCGGACGGGUGAGUAAUGUCUGGGAAACUGCCUGAUGGAGGGGGAUAACUACUGGAACCGGUAGCUAAUACCGCAUAACGUCGCAAGACCAAAGAGGGGGACCUUCGGGCCUCUUGCCAUCAGAUGUGCCCAGAUGGGAUUAGCUAGUAGGUGGGGUAACGGCUCACCUAGGCGACGAUCCCUAGCUGGUCUGAGAGGAUGACCGGCCACACUGGAACUGAGACACGGUCCAGACUCCUACGGGAGGCAGCAGUGGGGAAUAUUGCACAAUGGGCGCAAGCCUGAUGCAGCCAUGCCGCGUGUAUGAAGAAGGCCUUCGGGUUGUAAAGUACUUUCAGCGGGGAGGAAGGUGUUGUGGUUAAUAACCACAGCAAUUGACGUUACCCGCAGAAGAAGCACCGGCUAACUCCGUGCCAGCCGCCGCGGUAA
RNAcentral lists this ribosomal RNA (506 nucleotides) under uncultured bacterium. Its description in RNAcentral is "partial 16S ribosomal RNA". It matches the Rfam family "Bacterial small subunit ribosomal RNA", at positions 30 to 523 of the family's 1533-position model. The record is from RNAcentral.